AACGCACGAGACCUGCGGACCUGCGGAAGGAUCAUUACCGAGUUAUCCAACUCCCAACCCCUGUGAAUUAUACCUUUAAUUGUUGCUUCGGCGGGACAUCGCGCCCGCCGGGGACCCAAACCUUCUGAAUUUUUUAAUAAGUAUCUUCUGAGUGGUUAAAAAAAUGAAUCAAAACUUUCAGCAACGGAUCUCU
This 193-nucleotide unclassified non-coding RNA is filed under the name soil metagenome. RNAcentral's name for it is "partial contains 5.8S ribosomal RNA, internal transcribed spacer 2, and large subunit ribosomal RNA". The record is from RNAcentral.